RNAcentral lists this transfer RNA (72 nucleotides) under Camelus bactrianus (Bactrian camel). It matches the Rfam family "tRNA". From Rfam's summary of the family: Transfer RNA (tRNA) molecules are approximately 80 nucleotides in length. The record is from Rfam by way of RNAcentral. RNAcentral also lists the same sequence under 2 other names. Lineage: Eukaryota; Metazoa; Chordata; Mammalia; Artiodactyla; Camelidae.
GCAGGUAUAGCUGAGUGGUAGAGUGGAUGUUUCACAUGCACAGGGUCCUGGGUUCAAUCCCCAGUACUUCCA